This 484-nucleotide ribosomal RNA is filed under the name uncultured bacterium. RNAcentral describes it as "partial 16S ribosomal RNA". It matches the Rfam family "Bacterial small subunit ribosomal RNA", at positions 30 to 507 of the family's 1533-position model. The record is from RNAcentral.
AUUGAACGCUGGCGGCAGGCCUAACACAUGCAAGUCGAGCGGAUGAAGGGAGCUUGCUCCUGGAUUCAGCGGCGGACGGGUGAGUAAUGCCUAGGAAUCUGCCUGGUAGUGGGGGAUAACGUCCGGAAACGGGCGCUAAUACCGCAUACGUCCUGAGGGAGAAAGUGGGGGAUCUUCGGAUCUCACGCUAUCAGGUGAGCCUAGGUCGGAUUAGCUAGUUGGUGGGGUAAAGGCCUACCAAGGCGACGAUCCGUAACUGGUCUGAGAGGAUGAUCAGUCACACUGGAACUGAGACACGGUCCAGACUCCUACGGGAGGCAGCAGUGGGGAAUAUUGGACAAUGGGCGAAAGCCUGAUCCAGCCAUGCCGCGUGUGUGAAGAAGGUCUUCGGAUUGUAAAGCACUUUAAGUUGGGAGGAAGGGCAGUAAGUUAAUACCUUGCUGUUUUGACGUUACCAACAGAAUAAGCACCGGCUAACUUCGUG